Molecule: unclassified non-coding RNA, 1355 nt
Filed under: Hevea brasiliensis (rubber tree)
Lineage: Eukaryota; Viridiplantae; Streptophyta; Magnoliopsida; Malpighiales; Euphorbiaceae
Source: RNAcentral
GAAACAUCCACCGAUCAACAAUCUGCAACAAAUAUAGUAUAAGAAACUCAAACUAGCAUUAGCAUACUCAUGUAGAUAAAUCUACCACAUAAUUGUACUAGUUUACUAUAGAUAAUUUUGAGGGACGCGUAAGUUUUUCUUAGCGUUAAGCAUUUUUUCAAUGGGAGGCCUAUUGGGCCCUAUCUAAAUAAUUAAGUAUAAAUUUCCUCUAUCCUAAAAAUCCCGCCAAAUAUCAGUGGUUCAAAUGCAAAACCUCAAAGUUGGAAUCCUAUUUUUAAUAGUUGGGAUGUCUCCUUGGAGAUUAAUUUAUUCAUGAUUAUUACUUUUGUUAGGAAUAUACAAGUGUAGAAUUCUUACAUUGGAAAAAUAUAGGAUGAGUGAAAGACAUAUUAAUGAAAAUGACACAUAUACCCAUUGUCUUAAGGUUUUGAGUUUGAUGUAGUGUCAAGCCCAUGAGUGUGUUCUUUUAUAAAACCCAUCAAGAAAAAUUCUCCUCAGGCGCUUUAAGCUUUCCAAAUCUCCAACAGUUAAUAUCAAAGCCGAUGGUUUGGUAAGGGACGAGUAUGGAGACGGUAAUCAAUGAUUUCCGUGGUGCUCUGACACACAUGGAUGGAAGAGCCGAGAGACUCCUGGUAAGCCCAAUAAAACAGAAAUGCACUUUUCUCAAGAAGAGCAGACCGAUGGAGUGGAGACUCUCGGUACACGUGAUGGCUCUAGCAUGACUUUUAGAAGUGCAUGCUCGAGCCCAUGAGCAUGAUCUUUCAUAAGACCCAUAAAAAAAUAUUCUCCCCAGGCGCUUUAGGCUCUCCAAAUCUCCAACAACUUCCAUUUUUACAAGGGAUAAAUACAAAAUUCUCUAAAAAAAUUGUGAUUCUUGAAUUAAUCUCCAAACUCUAAAAUUCCACCAGCAUUCCCAAAUUUCCCGCUGUGUAUUGUUUUCAUCCUUCCAUUUAAUAGUCUAUAACUUCACUUGUUCCAAGUUAGUGACAUUAGUAUACUAACAUGAGAUGUGAAACUACAUCCCUCAACUGUUGGGAGCAACCAAAAGGGGAAAAAGAACACAUGCUUGAGAUAACAGUCUAAUUGGGGUAAUCGUAUCGUUCACCAUUGCUUUUUUGUCCCCCAAUUUGUUCCUCUAUAGUGUGCAAGAAAUUGAAUCUAGGAGCACUAAUUUGCAAUCUCCCAUAAUAUUAUUAUAAAUAAAGCAUGCUAAAGUUACCCUCAAGUUGUUAUUUGCAUUAUCCAAAUUCACUCAACAUCUGAUUUAAUAUCUGUGAGAACUGUUAUGUCUUCAUUAUUGGUUUUUCAUAUAUUGUCAAAAGAAAACAAACCUUGAAUGAUUCUACUGUUCCUUC